Molecule: ribosomal RNA, 225 nt
Filed under: uncultured bacterium
Lineage: Bacteria
Description: partial 16S ribosomal RNA
Rfam family: Bacterial small subunit ribosomal RNA
Source: RNAcentral
CACACUGGGACUGAGACACGGCCCAGACUCCUACGGGAGGCAGCAGUGGGGAAUUUUGGACAAUGGGCGCAAGCCUGAUCCAGCAAUGCCGCGUGCAGGAUGAAGGCCUUCGGGUUGUAAACUGCUUUUGUACGGAACGAAAAGCCCUGGGUUAAUACCCUGGGGUCAUGACGGUACCGUAAGAAUAAGCACCGGCUAACUACGUGCCAGCCGCCGCCGUAAGAC